AACGAACGCCGGCGGCAUGCCUAACACAUGCAAGUCGAACGAAGCCUUCGGGCUUAGUGGCGCACGGGUGCGUAACGCGUGGGAAUCUGCCCUUUGGUUCGGAAUAACAGUUGGAAACGACUGCUAAUACCGGAUGAUGACGAAAGUCCAAAGAUUUAUCGCCAGAGGAUGAGCCCGCGUAGGAUUAGCUAGUUGGUGUGGUAAAGGCGCACCAAGGCGACGAUCCUUAGCUGGUCUGAGAGGAUGAUCAGCCACACUGGGACUGAGACACGGCCCAGACUCCUACGGGAGGCAGCAGUGGGGAAUAUUGGACAAUGGGCGAAAGCCUGAUCCAGCAAUGCCGCGUGAGUGAUGAGGGCCUUAGGGUUGUAAAGCUCUUUUACCCGGGAUGAUAAUGACAGUACCGGGAGAAUAAGCUCCGGCUAACUCCGUGCCAGCCGCCGCGGUAA
This 449-nucleotide ribosomal RNA is filed under the name uncultured bacterium. RNAcentral describes it as "partial 16S ribosomal RNA". It matches the Rfam family "Bacterial small subunit ribosomal RNA", at positions 29 to 523 of the family's 1533-position model. The record is from RNAcentral.